This 668-nucleotide ribosomal RNA is filed under the name uncultured fungus. Its description in RNAcentral is "eukaryotic LSU rRNA". It matches the Rfam family "Eukaryotic large subunit ribosomal RNA", at positions 24 to 664 of the family's 3401-position model. Lineage: Eukaryota; Fungi. The record is from RNAcentral.
CCCGCUGAACUUAAGCAUAUCAAUAAGCGGAGGAAAAGAAACUAACAAGGAUUCCCCUAGUAACUGCGAGUGAAGCGGGAAAAGCUCAAAUUUAAAAUCUGGUGGCCUCUGGUCAUCCGAGUUGUAAUUUAGAGAAGCGUCUUCCGCGCUGGACCAUGCACAAGUCUCCUGGAAUGGAGCGUCAUAGAGGGUGAGAAUCCCGUCUUUGGCAUGGAUGCACCAGGGCUUCUGUGAUGCGCUCUCAAAGAGUCGAGUUGUUUGGGAAUGCAGCUCAAAAUGGGUGGUGAACUCCAUCUAAAGCUAAAUAUUGGCGAGAGACCGAUAGCGAACAAGUACCGUGAGGGAAAGAUGAAAAGAACUUUGGAAAGAGAGUUAAACAGUACGUGAAAUUGCUGAAAGGGAAACGCUUGAUGUCAGUCGCGUCGUCCGGGGAUCAGCCUUGCUCUUUUGCUCGGUGUAUUUCCUGGUCGACGGGUCAGCAUCGGUUUUGACCGUCGGAAAAUGGCUCGAGGAAUGUGGCACCCUUCGGGGUGUGUUAUAGACUCGGGUCGAAUACGGCGAUUGGGACCGAGGAACUCAGCACGACCUUAGGGUUCGGGGCUUCGGCCCACGUUAACGUGCUUAGGAUGCUGGCAUAAUGGCCUUAAGCGACCCGUCUUGAAACACGG